RNAcentral lists this long non-coding RNA (4109 nucleotides) under Podarcis lilfordi (Lilford's wall lizard). Lineage: Eukaryota; Metazoa; Chordata; Lepidosauria; Squamata; Lacertidae. The record is from RNAcentral.
GAGCUUCAGACCAUAUUUUGCGCUCUCCUCUUUCACCCUUUGUUGCAAAGAUUACAUAAAUUGAUGGUUCAAGUCUACAGAAGCAGAUCCUUACAAACUAUCAACAGCAAAAAAUAUUGAGAAGGUUAAGUAGGACUUUACAAACUGUAUUUCAUCAAUCCAUAUGGUAGCUUAUCGUGCCAUUUUACGAAUGGGGAACUAAGGCUGAGAGAAAGUGAAGUUAAGUUAGACCUUUUGGCAUUUGUUCCUACAGCUCCUUUGCCAUGGAAUACAUAUUUUCUGCAGCUUCUUCCCUAGGCCUACUCUUGCCAAUGCUUUUUGGUGCUAGGAAUGCCUGCAGAAAAAAAUGCUUUCUGAAAGAGCUUUCCUUUCCUAAAACCAUUUCAUCUCUGUUGUUAAUGAUACAGAUGCUAGAAGGACACUCAAGAGAAAAGGCCGCUGCUAAAACACCACUUUCAAACUCUCUGAGCAUUUCCUUACAACCACUUCACUUCUAGCUUUUGUUUAGAAUCUGUGACAUGAACACAAAAAACCGAGUGGCCAACAAGAGUCUAAGUCUCAGACAUAUAUUCUUGCCCCCAUUUCACAAGCCAUGCACGAACACAGACCAAGCUCAUAAUAACAAUAAACUAUGACGGCUGUGCAUCUCUCCACCUACGUAAGCUUCAGCAUCAUGCUGAUAGAUCCGCCCAGAGGUUGUUUAUCUAACCUGUCCUCUUUUAAGAAAACUUUCCCAAGCUUGUUACUCUCUACUAUGGCCAAUUAACUUGGGGAAAAGCAGAAGAAAUAAACAGUUAUCAGACUCUUGCAUUUGAGGGCCCCUGCGGACGUACUUUUUAUCAAGCAUUCAUCAUGGUCUGUGCUCACGUAAUCAGGGCGGUUAUAUGCAAUCACAAUUCCAACACCGUUGGCACCUGCAAAAGUUUUUGGUUGGUCAUAAUACUUCGUUUGUAGUAGGUGCAUGUCCUGCAGGAAAACUCUGUAACUUUUCAUACCACUAAUGUCCCAGGGGGUGGGGAGUGUUGUCCCACUUCUGCUGUGCACAAGAGUAGCCCUCCAGAUGGCAAUAAUAUAGUUACACUGGGGACUUCAGGGGAUAAGCUCAGGGUCUCAGAACCUGGAGCAGACAGUCCUUUAGAUGCUCUGAUCCAAAAUCAUUUAUAAUCUUUAAAAGUUAAUGAUCAGCACUUUGAACUAUGCCCAGAAAUGAACCAGAAGUCAUUGUGGCUCUUUUAAUGAGACUUGCAAGCUUCCAAGGUCUAGUUCAUAUCAGCUUUCUGACUGCCACAGUAUGGGACUGCUGAAGUUUCCAAACACACCUCAGAAGUAGCUGCACAUAGAGCACAUUGCAGUCAUCCAGUCUUGAUGUAACUAAGACGUGUGUAGCCCCAACCAGACUGGACCACUCCAGGAAUAGACACACUGACGUACCAGCCUAAGCUGGGCAAAGUCACUCCUAGCCACCACCUGAGCAUCAAGGAACGAGGAGGCAGGAUCCAGGAAUACUUCACAAGUGCAAACCUGAGUCUUCAAGGAAGUGUUACCCCAUCCAAGAUGGGUUGAUUUCCUCUUUCCAUAUCAGCAGUCCUGACAUUUGCGCACUUUCAGACAACCUGUUUAUUGAGCAUUCAUCCUAGUUUGUUUCUGAGGUUAGGCAGCAUUGCACCAAGAAAGGGCCGGUAUGUGAUUGAAUCCUACUGUAAAAUAGUAAUAGUCUAGCAGCCCCCAUUGUCUUCUCUGGGUUAAAUUUCAAUUUAUUAACAUCCAUCCAGUACAUUACUACUUUCAGACAAUGGCUCAGAACGUUUACAUGAACCAGAUACCCUAUGCCAGAGAAAGCAGGAAGAGUGGAAAUGAGAAAUGAGUUAGACAGGUGUAAAAUGAGAUAAAUUGUGGUGGAGCAGUCCCCCGAGACUUAGAACCAGCAAUAAACUUUGCUAGGGGUCUCCAAGAUCUGGGUUAAAAGAUGACUAUCCUUCCCUAGGAUAGUCAAUAUUUCAAACAUAUUCUCAUGAAACUUUCCUGGGAGAUUAAACCCACCUGACUAAAAGGCCUGUGAUUUCUUGAGCGGAGAAGAACCAAAGAGUUCUGUAUUUCACAGCAGUUCCCACCUCUCACAGGCCACAGGUCUCUGAGUAAUGAAAAUGUCUCCAUCGCAGUAUCAACAAACAUUCAUUGGGAAAUGUGUAAUGCAGAGCAAAGGGUACACACAUUGAUUAGAAAUGAAGUAAACUGGCUUGGAUGACAUAACUGUCAACAUGAACCUUCACCUAAAAUUUCUAAUCCAACCAAUUUGAAUCUUUGUUUAAAUCUCACAUCCACCCAUUAAGAUUUUAUAAAAUCAAAAACAUCAAUAUUUUUCUUCCAAUUUUCUCUUUACUCAGUGCUUUAUCCUUCCAGAGGUCACCCAAAAGUCACCUGCUCUGGCCAAUUUAGAAGGAUCAGAAUAACAUUGGGGAAUUAAUAUCGGAUCUUUUCCAAGCUGGCAACUAUCAGUAACUGCCUGAAAACGUGAAUCAAACUCUGUAAAGUGUGCAAAGGGAAGGCUUGGAGAAAACAUCAGUAAAAAGAUGUGCAAUCGGUGAAGCCACCCAAAACAGGGAAGCUAAAAUUGUACAUUGAUUUCAGAAACUGGAAAGAGAUCCAAUUGGCCUGUUUUUGUUAUUAUUUGUUACUCAGUUUGCCAAAUAAUGUAUACUGAUUUUCUUUUUUCAAAGAAACUAAUAAAUAAAAUACUGUUGCUUCUUCCAGGCUUGAAAGGAAGAAGAAAUUGAUAGUUCAUUAGCAAGACAAGAUGGCGAAAGGAGAAAAGGGAGAACGCAAAUUCUAUUGGGCUUGUCCAUAAGCCACACACAAAGCACAAAGAACUGGAUAGAAGAUUAAAGCCAUCCAGCUGAAGCAGUCAUAAGAAGGCCUAAAGAAGAUCAUCAUGGUGGUACUCACUGAAAAGUGUGGGGGGGACGACCCAGAGAGGGUCAGAUUGGUCUUCCGGGCUACAAUAGUGGAAGCUGGGAUAAGGGAAAGUCAUACCCUGAGCAAUCCUAGUCCAGGCAGGAAGCUUGUUGGAGGAACUACAGAGCUUCCCUACACUUCCUUCAUGAAGCAUGACUGAGAAAAGGCUGAUUUCCUUACCCAGCUCCUUAAGGAAAUGGUACUUCUUGAAUCCAGUCCCCAUCUGUGGGGAAAUGGCUUUCUGAGCUCACUUUCCCCAGGGAGCUUUCCCAAACUGUCUCCAACUAAGAAUUAGUCUAAGAAUUAGUUCCCAUGGUAACGUAUCACCUAUAUUUCCUCAGGUGAAGACGUGCUGAGCCAGACCUGUCCUCAGGUUUCAGGCCCCUUUUCCCUCUCUUGCCCACUCACACCAAGAAUUCAAUAUUUUUAAAUCCCUGUUUUCAACUGUCAUUCACUGAUACUUUUAAUAUUGGGUUUUUGUAAACCACUUAUUCUGACGCUUUUUACAAGCCAUAUAAUAAUUGUUAAAUAGGCAGAUAAAAAUAAGAAAAUUUCCCAAUGCUUAGUGGCAAUCUUCAUUUGAAUGUCAGUUUUUUUCCUUUUCCCUCCUUCCAAAUAUUCUGUUUUCAUAGAGGAAGGACAGUUGAGGAACCAGGUUUUGUUGGCUGAAGGGAUAGCGGUGAAGAAUAGUGCUGAGGGGCUGCAAAUGAAUGUAGGCAUAGGGCUAUGUCCUCCUGAGGAAAAUGUGCUCCUACACAGUGAGAAGGAAAUGAGAUUUGUAGUGGCAGAAACUGCUGGAGGGAAGGGGAUGGUGGUGGGAGGUUUCAGAGAGUUAAGGAAUGUCUCGAAAUAAAGGCAAGUACUAGCACAGUUGCUUUCUAUUUAGGAGCAAAUAUCAGAUAUAUUUAACUGCAGGAUACUCUUGUUAGCUAUCUGGCAUACCAAGUACACAAAUAAUUGCAAUGCCAAAAAUCAUAAUUGCAAAGAUAGCUGCCAAAAAGCAAAAGAACUGAAAACUGAACCAUUCCUGCCACCGCCCCACCACACCCAAGUGGCCAGCACAAUAGCAUUAAAUCUGCACCAGUAAAUGAGGUAAGCACAAAAGGAAUAAGCAGAGGAAAGUGCAAAAUAAGGAAGGCAUACCUAAUAUACAGUGG